This is a non-coding RNA of Pseudonaja textilis, 414 nucleotides long. The record is from RefSeq and is a predicted model, not a curated record. Lineage: Eukaryota; Metazoa; Chordata; Lepidosauria; Squamata; Elapidae.
AGAAGGGAGAAGAGAGAGCAAGAGAGAGAGAAAGAGAGACAUCUUAUCCUGCGUUCUUCACCUGGCUUUGAAAUUCUAUUGUUCUGUGCGUGUCUGUCAAGUGCGGCUUUUGAAAAAAAAAAAAAAUACAGCUGCCUGAGCCAGUUGCGGCCCAUCGAUUUGUGAGAUUGCGCGUGCUUGGUGUACUGCAUUGGUGUGUGCGCUUGUAUUUUGGGUGUACACGUAGGUGUGCGUGAGAGCUUGGCUCGCGACGAAAAGGGAAACAGUCCAGGUUGGUAGGUCCAAGCGGAGCGGGUUGUCCUCACGGCUCCCUUCGGCGAUCUUCUCACGCUCCGAACCACGAAACUUGCAACGUUAACGACAACGUCGGGAAGGGAUGGUCCCGUGCUCCAUGGCACCAAGGAGGAACCUACC